Non-coding RNA from Cronobacter sakazakii ATCC BAA-894, 171 nucleotides. It matches the Rfam family "sok antitoxin (CssrC)". From Rfam's summary of the family: Also identified in Shigella as CssrC. The record is from Rfam. NCBI's taxonomy places the organism in Bacteria, Pseudomonadati, Pseudomonadota, Gammaproteobacteria, Enterobacterales, Enterobacteriaceae.
CGGCGCUUGAGGCUUUUUGCCUCAUGCUGUCGGCAGAAAUGCCGUGAUGGUGAGGCAGAAAGAAGAAAGCCCCGAAGGUCAUUUAUUCAAUUAACCAACGAGGCCCCCUGAUGCAUCAACACCAUCAGCGUAGCCUCUUACCCGCCGAAAGGCAAGGAGAAGAAGGCCAUG